RNAcentral lists this ribosomal RNA (443 nucleotides) under uncultured Prevotella sp. RNAcentral's name for it is "bacterial SSU rRNA". It matches the Rfam family "Bacterial small subunit ribosomal RNA", at positions 355 to 794 of the family's 1533-position model. Lineage: Bacteria; Pseudomonadati; Bacteroidota; Bacteroidia; Bacteroidales; Prevotellaceae. The record is from RNAcentral.
UGAGGAAUAUUGGUCAAUGGACGAGAGUCUGAACCAGCCAAGUAGCGUGCAGGACGACGGCCCUAUGGGUUGUAAACUGCUUUUGUACGGGGAUAAAGUGAGCCACGUGUGGUUUAUUGCAGGUACCGUACGAAUAAGGACCGGCUAAUUCCGUGCCAGCAGCCGCGGUAAUACGGAAGGUCCGGGCGUUAUCCGGAUUCAUUGGGUUUAAAGGGAGCGUAGGCCGCCCCUUAAGCGUGUUGUGAAAUGCCGCGGCUCAACCGUGGCACUGCAGCGCGAACUGGGGGGCUUGAGUGCGCGCAGCGAAGGCGGAAUUCGUGGUGUAGCGGUGAAAUGCUUAGAUAUCACGCAGAACCCCGAUUGCGAAGGCAGCUUUCCAGCACACGACUGACGCUGAGGCGCGAAAGCGUGGGUAUCGAACAGGAUUAGAUACCCUGGGUAGU